Molecule: long non-coding RNA, 787 nt
Organism: Oncorhynchus tshawytscha (Chinook salmon)
Lineage: Eukaryota; Metazoa; Chordata; Actinopteri; Salmoniformes; Salmonidae
Source: Ensembl
GGGGGGGCCAGUAGCUAGGUAUCUCCUACAGGGGGCCAGUAGCUAGGUAUCUCCUACAGGGGGCCAGUAGCUAGGUAUCUCCUACAGGGGGCCAGUAGCUAGGUAUCUCCUACAGGGGGCCAGUAGCUAGGUAUCUCCUACAGGGGGCCAGUAGCUAGGUAUCUCCUACAGGGGGCCAGUAGCUAGGUAUCUCCUACAGAGUGCCAGUAGCUAGGUAUCUCCUACAGAGUGCCAGUAGCUAGGUAUCUCCUACAGAGUGCCAGUAGCUAGGUAUCUCCUACAGGGGGCCAGUAGCUUGGUAUCUCCUACAGAGUGCCAGUAGCUAGGUAUCUCCUACAGGGGGCCAGUAGCUAGGUAUCUCCUACAGGGGGCCAGUAGCCAGGUAUCUCCUACAGAGUGCCAGUAGCUAGGUAUCUCCUACAGGGGGCCAGUAGCUAGGUAUCUCCUACAGGGUGCCAGUAGCUAGGUAUUUCCUACAGGGGGCCAGUAGCUAGGUAUCUCCUACAGGAGCCAGUAGCUAGGUAUCUCCUACAGGGGCCAGUCGCUAGGUAUCUCCUACAGAGUGCCAGUAUCUAGGUAUCUCCUACAGGGGGCCAGUAGCUAGGUAUCUCCUACAGGGGGCCAGUAGCUAGGUAUCUCCUACAGGGGGCCAGUAGCUAGGUAUCUCCUACAGGGGGCCAGUAGCUAGGUAUCUCCUACAGGGGGUCAGUAGCUAGGUAUCUCCUACAGAGUGCCAGUAGCUAGGUAUCUCCUACAGGGGGCCAGUAGCUAGGGAUCUCCUACAGGG